AAGAAGACACUUUAAAACCCUU
This 22-nucleotide small nuclear RNA is filed under the name Arabidopsis thaliana (thale cress). RNAcentral's name for it is "snRNA_14468". The record is from RNAcentral. Lineage: Eukaryota; Viridiplantae; Streptophyta; Magnoliopsida; Brassicales; Brassicaceae.